AACACGAAGUGAGUGGCGAACGGGUGAGUAACACGUGGGUAACCUGCCCAGAAGUAGGGGAUAACACCUGGAAACAGAUGCUAAUACCGUAUAACAGAGAAAACCGCAUGGUUUUCUUUUAAAAGAUGGCUCUGCUAUCACUUCUGGAUGGACCCGCGGCGUAUUAGCUAGUUGGUGAGGUAAAGGCUCACCAAGGCAGUGAUACGUAGCCGACCUGAGAGGGUAAUCGGCCACAUUGGGACUGAGACACGGCCCAGACUCCUACGGGAGGCAGCAGUAGGGAAUCUUCCACAAUGGACGCAAGUCUGAUGGAGCAACGCCGCGUGAGUGAAGAAGGGUUUCGGCUCGUAAAGCUCUGUUGUUAAAGAAGAACGUGGGUAAGAGUAACUGUUUACCCAGUGACGGUAUUUAACCAGAAAGCCACGGCUAACUACGUGCC
RNAcentral lists this ribosomal RNA (439 nucleotides) under Pediococcus pentosaceus. RNAcentral's name for it is "bacterial SSU rRNA". It matches the Rfam family "Bacterial small subunit ribosomal RNA", at positions 83 to 509 of the family's 1533-position model. Lineage: Bacteria; Bacillati; Bacillota; Bacilli; Lactobacillales; Lactobacillaceae. The record is from RNAcentral.